UGGCUGGUCAAGAAUGUCAGCAGAGC
This 26-nucleotide non-coding RNA is filed under the name Cricetulus griseus (Chinese hamster). The record is from RNAcentral. Lineage: Eukaryota; Metazoa; Chordata; Mammalia; Rodentia; Cricetidae.